This 456-nucleotide ribosomal RNA is filed under the name Streptococcus sanguinis. RNAcentral's name for it is "bacterial SSU rRNA". It matches the Rfam family "Bacterial small subunit ribosomal RNA", at positions 28 to 468 of the family's 1533-position model. Lineage: Bacteria; Bacillati; Bacillota; Bacilli; Lactobacillales; Streptococcaceae. The record is from RNAcentral.
GACGAACGCUGGCGGCGUGCCUAAUACAUGCAAGUAGAACGCUGAAGAGAAGAGCUUGCUCUUCUUGGAUGAGUUGCGAACAGGUGAGUAACGCGUAGGUAACCUGCCUGGUAGCGGGGGAUAACUAUUGGAAACGAUAGCUAAUACCGCAUGAUAUUAAUUGUCGCAUGAUAAUUAAUUGAAAGAUGCAAUUGCAUCACUACCAGAUGGACCUGCGUUGUAUUAGCUAGUUGGUGAGGUAACGGCUCACCAAGGCGACGAUACAUAGCCGACCUGAGAGGGUGAUCGGCCACACUGGGACUGAGACACGGCCCAGACUCCUACGGGAGGCAGCAGUAGGGAAUCUUCGGCAAUGGGGGGAACCCUGACCGAGCAACGCCGCGUGAGUGAAGAAGGUUUUCGGAUCGUAAAGCUCUGUUGUAAGAGAAGAACGGGUGUGAGAGUGGAAAGUUCACA